AUACUAAAGUUGCUGCAGUUAAAAAGCUCGUAGUUGGAUUUCGGUUAACGAACAAUUAGUCUACACAACAUGUGUACGAACUGGUUGAUCGUUUCCUUCUUUUCAGAUACACCUUUUUAUAGGGUGUUCUGAAUCUUUUACUUUGAGAAAAUUAGAGUGUUCAAAGCAGGCGUAACCAAGCCUUUGAAUAUAUUAGCAUGGGAUAAUGGAAUAAGACUUUUUGGCUUAUUUUCGUUGGUUCUUUAGGCCUUAAGUAAUGAUUAAUAGGGAUAGUUGGGGUCAUUAGUAUUUAAUAGUCAGAGGUGAAAUUCUAAGAUUUAUUAAAGACUAACUACUGCGAAAGCAUUUGACAAGGAUGUUUUCAUUAAUCAAGAACGAAAGUUGGGGGAUCGAAGAUGAUCAGAUACCGUCGUAGUCUCAACCAUAAACUAUGCCGACCAAGGAUUCGGGGGUGUUAUAUGAAUGACUCUCCGGGCACUUAUAGAGAAAUCACAAGUAUUUGGGUUCCGGGGGGAGUAUGGUCGCAAGGCUGAAACUUAAAGGAAUUGACGGAAGGGCACCACAAGGAGUGGAACUUGCGGUUUAAUUUGACUCAACACGGGAAAACUUACCAGGUCCAGACACAAUGAGGAUUGACAGAUUGAGAGCUCUUUCUUGAUUUUGUGGGUGGUGGUGCAUGGCCGUUUCUAGUUGGUGGAGUGAUUUGUCUGGUUAAUUCCGUUAACGAACGAGACCUUAACCUAUUAAAUAGUGACGUGAAUAUGGAUAAUUUACUUCCAAUCAUUCACGGUUUACUUCUUAGAGGGACUCUUCACGUAAAGAGUGAAUGGAAGUUUGAGGCAAAAACAGGUCUGUGAUGCCCUUAGAAGUUCUGGGCUACACGCGUGUUACACUGACAUGUUCAACAAGUUAUAAUAUUCCUUACCCGAUGGGGUUGGGUAAUCUUUUAAAUGCAUGUCGUGAUGGGGAUAGAGCAUUGUAAUUAUUGCUCUUGAACGAGGAAUUCCUAGUAAGUGCAAGUCAUUAACUUGCGCUGAUUACGUCCCUGCCCUUUGUACACACCGCCCGUCGCUCCUACCGAUGAAUGGUCCGGUGAGGAUUCAGGAUGACCUUUGGAUUUUGAUUCGUCAUGCCACUGUCUGUCAGAAUUUGUUCAAACC
RNAcentral lists this ribosomal RNA (1160 nucleotides) under Flabellula baltica. RNAcentral's name for it is "SSU rRNA". It matches the Rfam family "Eukaryotic small subunit ribosomal RNA", at positions 601 to 1765 of the family's 1831-position model. The record is from RNAcentral. Lineage: Eukaryota; Tubulinea; Elardia; Leptomyxida; Flabellulidae.